This 1643-nucleotide ribosomal RNA is filed under the name metagenome. RNAcentral describes it as "bacterial LSU rRNA". It matches the Rfam family "Bacterial large subunit ribosomal RNA", at positions 1283 to 2925 of the family's 2925-position model. The record is from RNAcentral.
CCAAAGUGCGAAUGCUGACAUGAGUAGCGUUAAAGGGGGUGAAAAGCCCCCUCGCCGUAAGCGCAAGGUUUCCUACGCAACGUUCAUCGGCGUAGGGUGAGUCGGCCCCUAAGGCGAGGCAGAGAUGCGUAGCUGAUGGGAAACAGGUCAAUAUUCCUGUACCGAUUACAAGUGCGAUGUGGGGACGGAUCUUAAUAGGUUAUCCGGCGGUUGGAUGUGCCGGUUUAGACAGAAGUAGGCGACACGUAGGCAAAUCCGCGUGUCAUAUACCGAGGCUGUUGAUCGAGCGAGCUUGCUCGCGAAGUAACUGAACGAGGUCCCAGGAAAAGCCACUAAGCUUCAGCUUGUAAUUGACCGUACCGCAAACCGACACUGGUGCGCGAGAUGAGUAUUCUAAGGCGCUUGAGAGAACUCAGGAGAAGGAACUCGGCAAACUGACACCGUGACUUCGGAAGAAGGUGUGCCCUAGUAAUGUGAUGAGAACAUCUGAGCAUGAAUGGGUUGCAAAAAAUUGGUGGCUGCGACUGUUUAUUAAAAACACAGCACUCUGCAAACACGAAAGUGGACGUAUAGGGUGUGACGCCUGCCCGGUGCUGGAAGAUUAAUUGAUGGGGUGCAAGCUCUUGAUCGAAGUCCCAGUAAACGGCGGCCGUAACAAUAACGGUCCUAAGGUAGCGAAAUUCCUUGUCGGGUAAGUUCCGACCUGCACGAAUGGCGUAACGAUGGCCACACUGUCUCCUCCUGAGACUCAGCGAAGUUGAAAUGUUUGUGAUGAUGCAAUCUCCCCGCGGAAAGACGGAAAGACCCCAUGAACCUUUACUGUAGCUUUGUAUUGGACUUUGAACAGAUCUGUGUAGGAUAGGUGGGAGGCUUUGAAGCAGGGUCGCUAGAUCUUGUGGAGCCAACGUUGAAAUACCACCCUGGUGUGUUUGAGGUUCUAACCUAGGUCCAUUAUCUGGAUCGGGGACAGUGCAUGGUAGGCAGUUUGACUGGGGCGGUCUCCUCCCAAAGCGUAACGGAGGAGUUCGAAGGUACGCUAGUUACGGUCGGACAUCGUGACGAUAGUGCAAUGGCAUAAGCGUGCUUAACUGCGAGACUGACAAGUCGAGCAGAUGCGAAAGCAGGACAUAGUGAUCCGGUGGUUCUGUAUGGAAGGGCCAUCGCUCAACGGAUAAAAGGUACUCUGGGGAUAACAGGCUGAUACCGCCCAAGAGUUCAUAUCGACGGCGGUGUUUGGCACCUCGAUGUCGGCUCAUCUCAUCCUGGGGCUGUAGCCGGUCCCAAGGGUAUGGCUGUUCGCCAUUUAAAGAGGUACGUGAGCUGGGUUUAAAACGUCGUGAGACAGUUUGGUCCCUAUCUUCCGUGGGCGCUGCAGAUUUGAGGAAGCCUGCUCCUAGUACGAGAGGACCGGAGUGGACGCACCUCUGGUGUACCGGUUGUCACGCCAGUGGCAUUGCCGGGUAGCUAAGUGCGGAAGAGAUAACCGCUGAAAGCAUCUAAGCGGGAAACUCGUUCCAAGAUGAGAUCUGCCGGGGCCUUGAGCCCCCUAAAGAGUCGUUCAAGACCAGGACGUUGAUAGGUCAGGUGUGGAAGCGCAGCAAUGCGUUAAGCUAACUGAUACUAAUUGCUCGUGCGGCUUGACC